Molecule: ribosomal RNA, 393 nt
Filed under: uncultured bacterium
Lineage: Bacteria
Description: bacterial SSU rRNA
Rfam family: Bacterial small subunit ribosomal RNA
Source: RNAcentral
GACGAACGCUGGCGGCGUGCUUAACACAUGCAAGUCGAGCGGUAAGGCCCUUUCGGGGGGUACACGAGCGGCGAACGGGUGAGUAACACGUGGGUGACCUGCCCUCAGCUCUGGGAUAAGCCUGGGAAACCGGGUCUAAUACUGGAUAUGACUCCAUGACGCAUGUUGUGGGGUGGAAAGCCUUGUGCGGCUGAGGAUGGGCCCGCGGCCUAUCAGCUUGUUGGUGGGGUGANGGCCUACCAAGGCGACGACGGGUAGCCGGCCUGAGAGGGCGACCGGCCACACUGGGACUGAGACACGGCCCAGACCUCCUACGGGGAGGCAGCAGGUGGGGAAUUCUUGCGCAAUGGGCGAAAGCCUGACGCAGCGACGCCGCGUGAGUGAUGAAGGCCC